This 259-nucleotide ribosomal RNA is filed under the name uncultured Glomus. RNAcentral's name for it is "partial 18S ribosomal RNA". It matches the Rfam family "Eukaryotic small subunit ribosomal RNA", at positions 624 to 886 of the family's 1831-position model. The record is from RNAcentral. Lineage: Eukaryota; Fungi; Glomeromycota; Glomeromycetes; Glomerales; Glomeraceae.
AAGCUCGUAGUUGAAUUUCGGGGUUAGUAGGUUGGUCAUGCCUCUGGUAUGUACUGGUCUCACUGAUUCCUCCUUCCUUAUGAACCGUAAUGCCAUUAAUUUGGUGUUGCGGGGAAUUUGGACUGUUACUUUGAAAAAAUUAGAGUGUUUAAAGCAAGCUAACGCUUGAAUACAUUAGCAUGGAAUAAUGAAAUAGGACGUUCGAUCUUAUUUUGUUGGUUUUCUAGGAUUGACGUAAUGAUUAAUAGGGAUAGUUGGG